CCCUUGGUAGCUCAGUUGGAAGAGCGUGAGACUGUAACAGGAUAACUGGUUAUCUCAAGGUCACUGGUUCGAAACCUGUCCGAGGGA
This 87-nucleotide transfer RNA is filed under the name Rhizoctonia solani. It matches the Rfam family "tRNA". Rfam says of the family: Transfer RNA (tRNA) molecules are approximately 80 nucleotides in length. Their secondary structure includes four short double-helical elements and three loops (D, anti-codon, and T loops). Lineage: Eukaryota; Fungi; Basidiomycota; Agaricomycetes; Cantharellales; Ceratobasidiaceae. The record is from Rfam by way of RNAcentral.